This 80-nucleotide small RNA is filed under the name Flavobacterium sp. S87F.05.LMB.W.Kidney.N. RNAcentral's name for it is "Flavo-1 RNA". It matches the Rfam family "Flavo-1 RNA". The record is from RNAcentral. Lineage: Bacteria; Pseudomonadati; Bacteroidota; Flavobacteriia; Flavobacteriales; Flavobacteriaceae.
AUCUAGCCCCGAUUGAAGUGGAAAUCUUUUUAUUUUUUUCUUUAAAAAAUAAAAAAUUGGAACGGAAAGCGGGAAAUAAU